GACGAACGCUGGCGGCGCGCUUAACACAUGCAAGUCGAACGGAAAGGCCUGCUUUCCCUUGUGGAUUGCGGGUACUCGAGUGGCGAACGGGUGAGUAACACGUGAGUGAUCUGCCCCCAACUUGGGUAUAAGCCUGGGAAACUGGGUCUAAUUCCCGAUAGGACUGCAGGGUGGUGCCUGUGGUGGAAAACGAUUUUCUAGUGGUUGGGGAUGAGCUCGCGGCCUAUCAGCUUGUUGGUGGGGUAAUGGCCUACCAAGGCGGCGACGGGUAGCCGGCCUGAGAGGGUGGACGGCAACAGUGGGACUGAGAUACGGCCAAGACUCCUACGGGAGGCAGCAGGGGGGAAUAUGGCACAAUGGGCGGAAGCCUGAUGCAGCGACGCCGCGUGGGGGAUGACGGCCUUCGGGUUGUAAACUCCUUUCGACCGCGAGGAAGCCACCUGGUUGGAAGGGUGGUGACGGUAGUGGUAGAAGAAGCACCGGCUAACUACGUG
This 494-nucleotide ribosomal RNA is filed under the name uncultured bacterium. RNAcentral describes it as "partial 16S ribosomal RNA". It matches the Rfam family "Bacterial small subunit ribosomal RNA", at positions 28 to 507 of the family's 1533-position model. The record is from RNAcentral.